The sequence is a small nuclear RNA, 141 nucleotides long. Its record names the gene U4. It matches the Rfam family "U4 spliceosomal RNA". Rfam says of the family: U4 small nuclear RNA (U4 snRNA) is a component of the major U2-dependent spliceosome. The structure of U4 snRNA from yeast and human has been reported. The record is from Ensembl.
AUCCUUUCGCAGUGGCAGUAUCGUAAUCUAUGAGGUUUAUCCGAGGUGUGAUUAUUGCUGGUUGAAAACUUUAACCCAGUGCCUGCCUUGAUGUCUUGAAAUAUAGUCAGCAAUGGCAAUUUUUGAUGGUCUCUAUAGAGA